Molecule: ribosomal RNA, 845 nt
Filed under: uncultured Pleospora
Lineage: Eukaryota; Fungi; Ascomycota; Dothideomycetes; Pleosporales; Pleosporaceae
Description: eukaryotic LSU rRNA
Rfam family: 5.8S ribosomal RNA (bases 334-487)
Source: RNAcentral
CUUGGGACUGGCUCAGAGAGGUCGGCAGCGACCACUCAGAGCCGGAAACUUGGUCAAACUUGGUCAUUUAGAGGAAGUAAAAGUCGUAACAAGGUCUCCGUAGGUGAACCUGCGGAGGGAUCAUUAACGAGUUAGGGUCUUCUGGGCCCGAACCUCCCAACCCUUUGCUUACUGAACCAAUGUUGCUUCGGCGGGACCGUCCCUCACGGGGGACCGCCGGGGGGGUCACCUCGAGAGAGGUUCCCUCUGGCCCGCGCCCGCCGAUGGCCGACCAAUCAAAUUCUUAACUAAACGUGUUAUUGUCUGAGUACCUGAUUAUUAAAUCAUAAGCAAAACUUUCAACAACGGAUCUCUUGGUUCUGGCAUCGAUGAAGAACGCAGCGAAAUGCGAUAAGUAGUGUGAAUUGCAGAAUUCAGUGAAUCAUCGAAUCUUUGAACGCACAUUGCGCCCCUUGGUAUUCCAUGGGGCAUGCCUGUUCGAGCGUCAUUUGUACCCUCAAGCUCUGCUUGGUGUUGGGUGUUUGUCCUCUCCUUUGCGUUUGGACUCGCCUUAAAGCAAUUGGCAGCCAGUGUUUUGGUAUUGAAGCGCUGCACAUUUUGCGAUUCUAGCCUGUAAAUACUAGCAUCCAGUAAGCCUUUUUUCACUUUUGACCUCGGAUCCGGUAGGGAUACCCGCUGAACUUAAGCAUAUCAAUAAGCGGAGGAAAAGAAACCAACAGGGAUUGCCUUAGUAACGGCGAGUGAAGCGGCAACAGCUCAAAUUUGAAAUCUGGCUCUUUCAGAGUCCGAGUUGUAAUUUGCAGAGGGCGCUUUGGCGUUGGCAGCGGUCCAAGUUCUUUGGAACA